GUGGUGGUUCAAUGGUAGAAUUCUUGCCUUUCCAGUGGGAGACCUGGGUUCGAUUCCUGGCCAC
Molecule: transfer RNA, 64 nt
Filed under: Loxodonta africana (African savanna elephant)
Lineage: Eukaryota; Metazoa; Chordata; Mammalia; Proboscidea; Elephantidae
Rfam family: tRNA
About the family: Transfer RNA (tRNA) molecules are approximately 80 nucleotides in length. Their secondary structure includes four short double-helical elements and three loops (D, anti-codon, and T loops). Further hydrogen bonds mediate the characteristic L-shaped molecular structure. tRNAs have two regions of fundamental functional importance: the anti-codon, which is responsible for specific mRNA codon recognition, and the 3' end, to which the tRNAs corresponding amino acid is attached (by aminoacyl-tRNA synthetases). tRNAs cope with the degeneracy of the genetic code in two manners: having more than one tRNA (with a specific anti-codon) for a particular amino acid; and 'wobble' base-pairing, i.e. permitting non-standard base-pairing at the 3rd anti-codon position.
Source: Rfam by way of RNAcentral